AUACGUAGGGAGCAAGCGUUAUCCGGAUUUACUGGGUGUAAAGGGCGCGCAGGCGGGCUUGCAAGUUGGGAGUGAAAUCCCGGGGCUCAACCCCGGAACUGCUUUCAAAACUGUGAGUCUUGAGUGAUGGAGAGGCAGGCGGAAUUCCCAGUGUAGCGGUGAAAUGCGUAGAUAUUGGGAGGAACACCAGUGGCGAAGGCGGCCUGCUGGACAUUAACUGACGCUGAGGCGCGAAAGCGUGGGGAGC
Molecule: ribosomal RNA, 247 nt
Filed under: uncultured bacterium
Lineage: Bacteria
Description: partial 16S ribosomal RNA
Rfam family: Bacterial small subunit ribosomal RNA
Source: RNAcentral